GCGAUGGUGGUUUAGUGGUAGAAUUUUUGCCUUUCAUGUGGGAGACCUGGGUUCAAUUCCUGGCUAGUGCA
RNAcentral lists this transfer RNA (71 nucleotides) under Loxodonta africana (African savanna elephant). It matches the Rfam family "tRNA". From Rfam's summary of the family: Transfer RNA (tRNA) molecules are approximately 80 nucleotides in length. Their secondary structure includes four short double-helical elements and three loops (D, anti-codon, and T loops). Further hydrogen bonds mediate the characteristic L-shaped molecular structure. tRNAs have two regions of fundamental functional importance: the anti-codon, which is responsible for specific mRNA codon recognition, and the 3' end, to which the tRNAs corresponding amino acid is attached (by aminoacyl-tRNA synthetases). tRNAs cope with the degeneracy of the genetic code in two manners: having more than one tRNA (with a specific anti-codon) for a particular amino acid; and 'wobble' base-pairing, i.e. permitting non-standard base-pairing at the 3rd anti-codon position. The record is from Rfam by way of RNAcentral. Lineage: Eukaryota; Metazoa; Chordata; Mammalia; Proboscidea; Elephantidae.